Molecule: ribosomal RNA, 736 nt
Filed under: Montanomelon reynoldsi
Lineage: Eukaryota; Metazoa; Mollusca; Gastropoda; Stylommatophora; Camaenidae
Description: partial 16S ribosomal RNA
Source: RNAcentral
CACGAAACAAAGUGAGCUAACUUUAAAUAUUAUUAGAAUAAGUAGUGUAGCAUAACAUUAUAAAUUAAAAGUUAGGGGUGAUAGGCUUUUCAAAAUUUGUGAUAACUUGAUGUUAUUUAAAUGUAUAAAGUACGAAAUCAAUUAGUGGAUGAGAAGGUCUUCUAAGUAUAUUAAGUUUUACAAGGUUUUAUUGUAUAGCAUAAUAGUUAACAGUUAAUAAUUUAACUAUUUAAAUAGUAGUUUUAUAAAAAUUAAAUAACACUUAACUAAUAAUUUAAUUAAUUUAUUAUGUUUUUAUAAGUAAUUAAUAGAUAUUUUAAAUGAACUCGGCAAUAUAUUUACCAACUGUUUAUCAAAAACAUUGCUAUUAGAAGUAUUAGUAGUUUUUUCUGCUCAAUGAAUUUUAAAUAGCCGCAGUACCCUGACUGUGCAAAGGUAGCAUAAUCAGUUGGCUUAUAAUUGAAGUCUAGAAUGAAUGAAUGAAUGUGUAAAUAACUGUAUCACGAAUAUAACAUAAAAUUACUCAGAUAGUGAAAAUACUAUCAUCUAAAUAAUAGACGAGAAGACCCUAGAAAUUUUUAUAAACUGUAAAUUAUGGUUUUUGUUGGGGCAACAGUGUAUCAAAAUAUACAGUAUAGACAUGAAAUUUUUUUGAUAGAUUAAAUUACUCUAGGGAUAACAGCGUAAUACGAAAGUGUUUGCGACCUCGAUGUUGGAUUAGGAAGUAAAUGUUUAG